CCCGCUGAACUUAAGCAUAUCAAUAAGCGGAGGAAAAGAAACCAACAGGGAUUGCCCUAGUAACGGCGAGUGAAGCGGCAAAAGCUCAAAUUUGAAAUCUGGCUCUUUUAGGGCCCGAGUUGUAAUUUGUAGAGGAUGCUUCGGCGUCGGCUCCGGUCUAAGUUCCUUGGAACAGGACGUCAUAGAGGGUGAGAAUCCCGUAUGUGAUCGGUUGCCUUUGCCAUGUGAAGCUCCUUCGACGAGUCGAGUUGUUUGGGAAUGCAGCUCUAAAUGGGAGGUAAAUUUCUUCUAAAGCUAAAUACUGGCCAGAGACCGAUAGCGCACAAGUAGAGUGAUCGAAAGAUGAAAAGCACUUUGGAAAGAGAGUCAAAAAGUACGUGAAAUUGUUGAAAGGGAAGCGCUUGCGACCAGACCUGCCUGCAGUUGCUCAUCCGGACAUUUGCCCGGUGCACUCUUCUGCUGUCAGGCCAGCAUCGGUUCGGGCGGUCGGAUAAAGGCUUUGGGAAUGUAGCUCCUCUCGGGGAGUGUUAUAGCCCGUUGCGAAAUGCGGCCUGUCGGGACCGAGGAACGCGCUUCGGCUAGGAUGCUGGCGUAAUGGUUGUAAGCGGCCCGUCUUGAAACACGG
RNAcentral lists this ribosomal RNA (625 nucleotides) under uncultured fungus. RNAcentral describes it as "eukaryotic LSU rRNA". It matches the Rfam family "Eukaryotic large subunit ribosomal RNA", at positions 24 to 664 of the family's 3401-position model. Lineage: Eukaryota; Fungi. The record is from RNAcentral.